This 253-nucleotide ribosomal RNA is filed under the name uncultured bacterium. RNAcentral describes it as "partial 16S ribosomal RNA". It matches the Rfam family "Bacterial small subunit ribosomal RNA", at positions 524 to 776 of the family's 1533-position model. The record is from RNAcentral.
UACAGAGGGGGCUAGCGUUGUUCGGAAUUACUAGGCGUAAAGGGCGCGUAGGUGGCCUGUUAAGUCGAACGUGAAAUCCCCGGGCUCAACCCGGGAACUGCGUCCGAGACUGGCAGGCUCGAAUCCGGGAGAGGGAUGUGGAAUUCCAGGUGUAGCGGUGAAAUGCGUAGAUAUCUGGAGGAACACCGGUGGCGAAGGCGGCAUCCUGGACCGGUAUUGACGCUGAGGCGCGAAAGCCAGGGGAGCAAACGGG